GACGAACGCUGGCGGCGUGCCUAACACAUGCAAGUCGAACGGAAAGGCCCGGCUUUUGUGUGGUUCUCGAGUGGCGAACGGGUGAGUAACACGUGAGUAUCCUGCCCUUUACUUUGGGAUAUCUUCAGGAAACUGGGGCUAUUACCGGAUAGGAGCUCCUGCUGCAUGGUGGGGGUUUGAAAGUUGCGGCGUUUGGGGAUGGACGUGCGGCUUAUCAGCUUGUUGGUGGGGUAGUGGCUUACCCACGCUUCGACGGGUAGCCGGCAUGAGAGGGUGACCGGGGACAUUGGGACUGAGGGAGGGCCCAGACGGGAACGGGAGGCAGCGGUGGAGAACAUUGCACAAUGAGCGGAAGCGUGAUGCAGCGGCGCCGCGUGCGGAAUGACGGUCUUCGGGUUAUAAACCGCUUUCGCCUGAGACGAAGCGUGAGUGACGGUAAUGGAUGAAGAAGCACCGGCUAACUACGUG
This 468-nucleotide ribosomal RNA is filed under the name uncultured bacterium. RNAcentral's name for it is "partial 16S ribosomal RNA". It matches the Rfam family "Bacterial small subunit ribosomal RNA", at positions 28 to 507 of the family's 1533-position model. The record is from RNAcentral.